RNAcentral lists this unclassified non-coding RNA (1124 nucleotides) under Hevea brasiliensis (rubber tree). The record is from RNAcentral. Lineage: Eukaryota; Viridiplantae; Streptophyta; Magnoliopsida; Malpighiales; Euphorbiaceae.
AUAAUAAUAAUGAUGAUGAUGAUAACCUUUCCUAGUUGGUGUUCGUACUUUAAGCCAUCUUAAUAUUGGCUUUGCGUUUGACCAUUAAAUGGUACUAGCAUUUAAAUAGAAUAGGUAGAAUUCCAUAGAAUCAACUUUCACAAGGUCAACGUCACAAUAUGAUUUGGUGUUCCAAUUCUAAAUUGAAGCCACCUCUCCCUUCUAGUAAAGUUUAUUGUCCUCAGCAAUGGCUAAUGCAAGUGCUUCUGGGUUCAGGGAUAUCAUGUUAGAAAUUAUAGACAAGGAACUAAUUUAGAGAAGAUGAAGAAACAUUGCUUAGUGGCAGUCGCUUCUUUAUCUUCCUAUUCCUUUUCUUUUUUCUCUUUUCUUUUGGUCAGGUCACAGCAAACUCAAACAAGUCAAGAUCAAGUGAGAUCAACCCAAACAAUUCUCUUCAAGUUUGCAUGUUGAGUUAAAAAAAUUGCCACCUCUAAACUGUAGUGUAGGUAUGACUUGUGUCAAACUAGUUUUAGUAGUAUACAUGAAUUAUGAAUUUCAAUUUUUUUUUCUAUUAAGUAUUUUCCACACUUUACUGAUGGGCACCUCACAUUCCUAUUAAGUGUGUGCUUGCACCUACAACCUAAAUGUAGCUUGCACUUAUAAAAACCAGGAGCAAGAGAAAAAAAAAAUCAAAGAGAAAACCAAAUCAGAACUAAAAACCAAACCCAGCAAAAAAAAUAUUAACCAAAUAGGUCUAUUUGGUUCCUAGUUGAUUUUGAAAUUAUGAAGGGUAACUUACAAAAACCCCCCAACCUUAAGCAGAAUUUAAAGGUACAAAAGUUAUCAAGUGUUUUUCCAAUGGCUGAAGAAAGACGAACAUUAGAUUUUAAAGGUUAAAAAUUUACCAAGGUGUUUUACCUAGGGCAGAGUGCAAGAAGUGUACAUUCUGUAAACAAGAUCAAAGCAUUUUAGCAUCUGACGUGAGAAGUCCCAUCUGCUCCGUAAGCUGAUCCACGUGCUGAGUUUUGUCCCACCCAUUGUCCAUUGACUGCACAUCAUUUUCCUUUGUUUGACCAUCCAUGGAGCUUGAUUCAAUAUCCUCAGGUACUGGGCUUUGCACAAGUUCAUCCCAGAAGCUAGAAUUU